GAUGAACGCUGGCGGCGUGCCUAAUACAUGCAAGUCGAGCGAACAGACGAGGAGCUUGCUCCUCCGACGUUAGCGGCGGACGGGUGAGUAACACGUGGAUAACCUACCUAUAAGACUGGGAUAACUUCGGGAAACCGGAGCUAAUACCGGAUAAUAUAUUGAACCGCAUGGUUCAAUAGUGAAAGACGGUUUUGCUGUCACUUAUAGAUGGAUCCGCGCCGCAUUAGCUAGUUGGUAAGGUAACGGCUUACCAAGGCAACGAUGCGUAGCCGACCUGAGAGGGUGAUCGGCCACACUGGAACUGAGCCACGGUCCAGACUCCUACGGGAGGCAGCAGUAGGGAAUCUUCCGCAAUGGGCGAAAGCCUGACGGAGCAACGCCGCGUGAGUGAUGAAGGUCUUCGGAUCGUAAAACUCUGUUAUUAGGGAAGAACAAAUGUGUAAGUAACUAUGCACGUCUUGACGGUACCUAAUCAGAAAGCCACGGCUAACUACGUG
RNAcentral lists this ribosomal RNA (497 nucleotides) under uncultured bacterium. RNAcentral describes it as "partial 16S ribosomal RNA". It matches the Rfam family "Bacterial small subunit ribosomal RNA", at positions 28 to 507 of the family's 1533-position model. The record is from RNAcentral.